RNAcentral lists this long non-coding RNA (1220 nucleotides) under Olea europaea (common olive). RNAcentral's name for it is "long non-coding RNA (OEUR_LNC002235)". Lineage: Eukaryota; Viridiplantae; Streptophyta; Magnoliopsida; Lamiales; Oleaceae. The record is from RNAcentral.
AAGGAGAUGUUCAACUUAGGCUCAACCUACAAUGUGGAGUGGGUGAGGAAAUAAAUGGCUUAACAAAGACUGAUGAGAUUUUAGCUCAAAGUGACUUCUAUUCAAUGAGACAUUGGUCGGUUUGAAAGGCUUAAACUACAUCCUAAAUUGACCUUCAUCAUUUCCUGAGUAUAAUCAAACUGACAUACCACAAACCGUGUAAUGGCAUUCCCAUUAGUCAACCAAAUUUGGGGAAUAAUGAGAUCAUGUAACGAGACAAUGUUGAAGGUAAUAUUAAGAAUAUGAUAACAUCUCUCAGAAAAAUGAGAAUGGCCCAAUUUCUCACAAGUGUAAAAGGUUGCAACUUUAAUUUGAGUGUUCUCUAAUUGUAUGAGUUCCACAUCCAUCAAACCACAUGAGCUUAGUUUACGUGUAUGAAAAGAAAAAAUUUCUGAGGUGUUUUAAUAUCUUACUCAGAUAGCACUAUUGACUCAAGCAAAAAUACAUUGUAAUCAAGCCAAAAUGCCAAAGAUGAAUUCAUGUAAAUUGGAAUGCAUUCAUGAUACCAAAUCUAAAUUCAUGCAAAUAGGAAUUCAAAAUUUCUGAGGUGUUUCAAUAUCAUAUUCAGAUAGCACUAUUGACUCAAGAAAAAAUACAUUGUAAUCAAGCCAAAAUACCAAAGCUAAAUUCAUGUAAAUUGAAAUACAUUCAUGAUAUCAAAUCUAAAUGCAUGCAAACAGGAAUGCAUAUAUUCAUGCUGAGCCCCCCCCCCAUGUUCAACUUAGGCUCAACCUCCAAUGUGGAGUGGGUGAGGAAAUAAAUGGCUUAACAAAGAUUGAUGAGAUUUUAGCUCAAAGUGACUUCUAUUCAAUGAGACAUUGGUCGGCUUGAAAGGCUUAAACUACAUCCUAAAUUGACCUUCAUCAUUUCCUGAGUAUAAUCAAACCAACAUACCACAAACCGUGUAAUGGCAUUCCCAUUAGUCAACCAAAUUUGGGGAAUAAUGAGAUCAUGUAACGAGACAAUGCUGAAGGUAAUAUUAAGAAUAUGAUAACAUCUCUCAAAAAAAUGAGAAUGGCCCAAUUGCUCACAAGUGUAAAAGGUUGCAACUUUAAUUUGAGUGUUCUCUAAUUGUAUGAGUUUCACAUCCAUCAAACCACAUGAGCUUAGUUUACGUGUAUGAAAAGAAAAAAUUUCUGAGGUGUUUCAAUAUCUUACUCAGAUAGCACUAUUGACUCAAG